CACUCCUACGGGAGGCAGCAGUGGGGAAUAUUGCACAAUGGGCGCAAGCCUGAUGCAGCCAUGCCGCGUGUAUGAAGAAGGCCUUCGGGUUGUAAAGUACUUUCAGCGGGGAGGAAGGCGAUAAGGUUAAUAACCUUGUCGAUUGACGUUACCCGCAGAAGAAGCACCGGCUAACUCCGUGCCAGCAGCCGCGGUAAUACGGAGGGUGCAAGCGUUAAUCGGAAUUACUGGGCGUAAAGCGCACGCAGGCGGUCUGUCAAGUCGGAUGUGAAAUCCCCGGGCUCAACCUGGGAACUGCAUUCGAAACUGGCAGGCUAGAGUCUUGUAGAGGGGUGUAGAAUUCCAGGUGUAGCGGUGAAAUGCGUAGAGAUCUGGAGGAAUACCGGUGGCGAAGGCGGCCCCCUGGACAAAGACUGACGCUCAGGUGCGAAAGCGUGGGGAGCAAACAGGAUUAGAUACCCGUGUAGUCCCAUG
RNAcentral lists this ribosomal RNA (474 nucleotides) under uncultured organism. RNAcentral's name for it is "partial 16S ribosomal RNA". It matches the Rfam family "Bacterial small subunit ribosomal RNA", at positions 334 to 799 of the family's 1533-position model. The record is from RNAcentral.